RNAcentral lists this long non-coding RNA (402 nucleotides) under Triticum aestivum (bread wheat). RNAcentral's name for it is "long non-coding RNA (TAES_LNC007672)". The record is from RNAcentral. Lineage: Eukaryota; Viridiplantae; Streptophyta; Magnoliopsida; Poales; Poaceae.
UUUAUAGGCACAAAUAACUUGGUUACCAUAAAAAGAGAAGAUAUCAACCUUAUGCACAAUUACAAACAAAGAUUAGGAUAGACUACCACAGUAAUCAGUAUGAUAGCUCGGGCAAUGUCUAUCUUCUUUCUGAUAUACUGAUCACAUAAUCUGGGUUUUAUACUCUGAAUCUAAAGAAAUUAAAUAUUGUCAGUUAGCAUAGCAGUAUCUUUAAAACAAGUAUGCAUAUAGAAGGUGCAAUUUCAUACAAGCACAAUACCAGCUUUUUUACUGCCUCUGUAAUCAUCUCCCGAGCUUUAUCCUCCGGUACCUAAGGCAGACAGACCUGAAAUCAGAUCAAGAACAAUAAUCCACUGGAUUGCUCGCAUAGGCAUAUCCCAGUACUUGCUUCCUUGGGAACAC